This 954-nucleotide ribosomal RNA is filed under the name Escherichia coli. RNAcentral's name for it is "partial 23S ribosomal RNA". It matches the Rfam family "Bacterial large subunit ribosomal RNA", at positions 591 to 1549 of the family's 2925-position model. Lineage: Bacteria; Pseudomonadati; Pseudomonadota; Gammaproteobacteria; Enterobacterales; Enterobacteriaceae. The record is from RNAcentral.
GUGUGACUGCGUACCUUUUGUAUAAUGGGUCAGCGACUUAUAUUCUGUAGCAAGGUUAACCGAAUAGGGGAGCCGAAGGGAAACCGAGUCUUAACUGGGCGUUAAGUUGCAGGGUAUAGACCCGAAACCCGGUGAUCUAGCCAUGGGCAGGUUGAAGGUUGGGUAACACUAACUGGAGGACCGAACCGACUAAUGUUGAAAAAUUAGCGGAUGACUUGUGGCUGGGGGUGAAAGGCCAAUCAAACCGGGAGAUAGCUGGUUCUCCCCGAAAGCUAUUUAGGUAGCGCCUCGUGAAUUCAUCUCCGGGGGUAGAGCACUGUUUCGGCAAGGGGGUCAUCCCGACUUACCAACCCGAUGCAAACUGCGAAUACCGGAGAAUGUUAUCACGGGAGACACACGGCGGGUGCUAACGUCCGUCGUGAAGAGGGAAACAACCCAGACCGCCAGCUAAGGUCCCAAAGUCAUGGUUAAGUGGGAAACGAUGUGGGAAGGCCCAGACAGCCAGGAUGUUGGCUUAGAAGCAGCCAUCAUUUAAAGAAAGCGUAAUAGCUCACUGGUCGAGUCGGCCUGCGCGGAAGAUGUAACGGGGCUAAACCAUGCACCGAAGCUGCGGCAGCGACACUAUGUGUUGUUGGGUAGGGGAGCGUUCUGUAAGCCUGUGAAGGUGUACUGUGAGGUAUGCUGGAGGUAUCAGAAGUGCGAAUGCUGACAUAAGUAACGAUAAAGCGGGUGAAAAGCCCGCUCGCCGGAAGACCAAGGGUUCCUGUCCAACGUUAAUCGGGGCAGGGUGAGUCGACCCCUAAGGCGAGGCCGAAAGGCGUAGUCGAUGGGAAACAGGUUAAUAUUCCUGUACUUGGUGUUACUGCGAAGGGGGGACGGAGAAGGCUAUGUUGGCCGGGCGACGGUUGUCCCGGUUUAAGCGUGUAGGCUGGUUUUCCAGGCAAAUCCGGAAAA